UACAGAGGGGGCAAGCGUUAUUCGGAAUUAUUGGGCGUAAAGGGCGCGUAGGCGGCUUUGCAAGUGACGGGUGAAAGCCCUCGGCUUAACCGAGGAACUGCCUGUCAGACUGUGAGGCUUGAGACCGGGAGAGGUGAGUGGAAUUCCCAGUGUAGCGGUGAAAUGCGUAGAUAUUGGGAGGAACACCAGUGGCGAAGGCGGCUCACUGGACCGGAACUGACGCUGAGGCGCGAAAGCCAGGGGAGCAAACGGG
Molecule: ribosomal RNA, 253 nt
Filed under: uncultured bacterium
Lineage: Bacteria
Description: partial 16S ribosomal RNA
Rfam family: Bacterial small subunit ribosomal RNA
Source: RNAcentral